Molecule: RNA transcript, 1636 nt
Organism: Teleopsis dalmanni
Lineage: Eukaryota; Metazoa; Arthropoda; Insecta; Diptera; Diopsidae
Gene: Bem46
Gene name: protein ABHD13
Exons: 5
Source: RefSeq, a predicted model, not a curated record
UUUAAAUAAAAUUUGAGAAGCUAUUUAAGUUCAAUUAAAGUUAAAGUUAUUAUUUUAAAAAAACUCGCCUAACUCACAACGAAAAUUUUGGGAAGUUUAUACUUUUUGCAAACAAAGCAGAAUUAAGAUCAGUUUUAAUAUAAAGACCAAAUACUACUGAAGUACUUCACGGUCAGCAAAAAUUUGACAGUGGCAGAUAUCUACAAAGGACACAGAUUAACAAUGUGUCGAAUCAGUAUAUAGUAUAAAAUAUGAACAUGUCAUUUCACCAAACAAAACGAAACGGCUUAAAAAUGUGCUAACGCUGGGAUUUUAUCAUUUGAUUUCAAACAGUCUUACUUGUAAGAAGGAAAAGAUCUAUUGUAUCUAGAAUGUCGCAAGAAAGUGAAAGCGAGGUUGCUACUAUUAAGGGACUGCCAAUAACAUUACCACAAUCGCGUGGAGUGUGGGUAGUUGCAUUAGCAGCACUACUCCUUUGUAUUAUUUUUUAUAUUUUUUAUGGAGGUAUAUUAACUUUAGCAGCAUUUUUCGCUUUUAUAUUAGGUAUGCUAUACUAUGCCCAGGAUAUACUUUUGUAUCAUCCAGAUAUGCCAGCCAAUUCGCGAAUAUACAUUCCGAUACCAACAAUGCAUAAUUUACCACAUGAAAGCGUUAAUAUACGUACUCCGGACAAAGUGUUGUUGCACGCUUUCUGGAUUUCUCAACCCGAGGAACGUUCCAAAAUGGUACCUACUUUUGUAUUUUUUCAUGGUAAUGCCGGCAAUAUGGGCCAUCGUAUGCAAAAUGUUUGGGGAAUUUUUUACAAUUUAAAUUGUAAUAUUUUGAUGCUUGAAUAUCGCGGUUAUGGUUUGUCGACUGGUGCUCCAUCCGAACAUGGGCUUACAGUAGAUGCACGCGCUGCUAUCGAUUAUUUAUAUACACGUCAUGAUUUGGAUCAUAAGCAAAUAGUAGUUUUUGGACGUUCGUUAGGCGGAGCUGUAGCUAUUGACGUAGCAUCUGAUACCGUAUAUGGGCAGAAAAUAAUGUGUGCUAUAGUAGAGAAUACAUUUACUAGUAUUCCAGAAAUGGCUGUGGAAUUAGUGCAUCCAACAAUUAGAUUUAUACCAAAUUUUUGUUAUAAAAAUAAGUUUAAUUCAAUUGGUAAAAUAGGCAAUAGUUCGGUGCCAUUUUUGUUUCUAUCGGGUAUGGCUGAUACCUUAGUUCCGCCUCGUAUGAUGCGUUCAUUAUACACAGAAUGUGGCAGUAAAAAAAAAUACGUUUUGGAGUUUAUUGGGGGUUCACAUAACGAUACAUGGAUUGUAGAUGGAAAAAACUCACAGCUAGAAAUUGUUCGAACUUUUUGUAUAUGAUUGUAUAUGGUUAUAAAGAGCUAAAAUCAAAGCACGGGUAUUUAAAUAUGCGAAUACAAUAAACGAAUACAAUAAGAUCAAGAUAAUCGGCAAAGAAACAAUAUGAAAUAUCAUUAAUUUCAAUAUCGUAACGAUAAAAUUGCUUAGAAUCAUAUGAUAUGCAAAAUAACAAUACAAAAUGAACAAAGGAUAUAGUUAUUAUCAGGGUAUAAAAAACUUUCUAAACGAAUGCCAAAAUAUGUCACUACCCUUAGUAAAACCCCCAUUGAAAACAAAUCUAUGGAAAG